GACGAACGCUGGCGGCGUGCUUAACACAUGCAAGUCGAACGGAAAGACCCCUUUGGGGGUACUCGAGUGGCGAACGGGUGAGUAACACGUGAGUAACCUGCCCUUGACUUCGGGAUAACUUCAGGAAACUGGGGCGAAUACCGGAUAGGAAUCCUUGCUGCAUGGUGGGGGUUGGAAAGCUUCGGCGGUUUUGGAUGGACUCGCGGCGUAACAGCUUGUUGGUGGGGUAGUGGCUUACCAAGGCUUUGGCGGGUAGCCGGCCUGAGAGGGCGACCGGCCAUAUUGACUCUGAGAGGCGGCACAGAUUGCGAAGGGGCCGCGAAGGGCGAAAGCCUGCACAAUGGGCGGAGGCCGGGUGCAGAAACGCCGCGGACGGGAGAACGGCGUUAGUGGUGUAGACCGAAUUCAGAAGGAGCGAAGCAUGUCGUGACGGUACCUGAAGAAAAAGCACCGGCUAACUACGUG
RNAcentral lists this ribosomal RNA (465 nucleotides) under uncultured bacterium. Its description in RNAcentral is "partial 16S ribosomal RNA". It matches the Rfam family "Bacterial small subunit ribosomal RNA", at positions 28 to 507 of the family's 1533-position model. The record is from RNAcentral.